Aethalodelphis obliquidens (Pacific white-sided dolphin) is the source of this 1563-nucleotide long non-coding RNA. RefSeq lists it as uncharacterized. The record is from RefSeq and is a predicted model, not a curated record. The transcript has 3 exons. NCBI's taxonomy places the organism in Eukaryota, Metazoa, Chordata, Mammalia, Artiodactyla, Delphinidae.
GGUGCAGUUACACCCUUUGCCAAUGUUAUGGUUGAGGAUUGUGCCUGAAUUCCUCAACCCAAUUCAGGUAGGAAGAAUCCAGGUAAAUCUAGGGAUAACUAAAAACAGGAGAAGUGGUAGGUAGUAAAGUAAGGAACUUGGAAGUGAGUGAUAACACCAGGAAAACAAUGUUGUUUUUUUUUUUUCAUCAACAGUAUCUCAAGGCAAGAGAAUGACCAACAUUAGUUUUUGUUCCCUCUGGAAGACCGCCAGCACUGCUUCCUUCUGAGAAAUGUCCAUUGCACUGAAGAUGUGAGACAUUAGAUCAAGCUCACAAUCAAGGAAAGAAAAUUGUAUAAGGCAACUGAGAAGAUAUUAUCAACAGUAGUAUCUGCCAGUAAGAAAGAAAGGAAGAGGAAAAAAUAAACCAAACCAGUGGUGUGAUUUCAUCAAAAUGAUACUCUACAGGAGGGCUUCUCCGGAGGAGAGGGAAGGAGUAUGAGAAACACAUGGGGGUGUUUCUCAGACUGUAAUAGCAGAGGUGUGAUCUCCAGCCAAGAAGCAUCUGCAGAGUCCUUUCUGGCAGAGGUAAAGGAAGCUCAGAGAUUCUGUUUAGCAUUGCUGUGUUGAACAUCAUCCCUAUGUGUGUAUCUGAACUUUCACGUCAGUCCCAUGCAGCCUGACCACACACACUCACACACAGGCUCAGUGCAUCUACAUGUGCUCUUACACUCUCACACAUGAGCACUCCCACUCACAUUUACUCAUUCGCACUGUCCUUCACACUCAUGCCCCCGUUCAAUUACACUUCCCCUCCUACGCCAGCAGAGAGAUAUAAAUCCUAUAGGAAUUAAAAAUAGAUGUUCAAAAUUCCCCUUUAAAUAAAUCUUUAAUUGCCAGCAGAUGGAUUAUGGACUUGAUAUUUACAUUUUGAGAGGUUUCCAAUUACAAUAAAAUCUACCAGCAUUUUUCACUCUAUAUGGAGCCAUUCACUUGUAUUUGGAACACAAUUCAAUUUUCCAAAUUUGGCUAAACUAAACAUUUUAGGAACACAAAUAUCCAUCAAAAGGAGGUAGAUUUACAACUGGGCAAAGUGCAAUGUUUGCACAUUUAUUUUCUCCUCUGAGACAUUAUCAAUUUUGACCAAAAAAAUAUUUUUCUCUCUCUGAAAAUUAGGCACCUGAUACACUCUCAUUGACCGUAUGAAUACUGUUAGGUCUCUGACUUCUUUUCUUAAGUUUUCAAAUUAAAAAAAAAAUUUUUUUUUGAAGUAUAGUUUAUUUACAAUGUUGUGUUACUUUCUGUUGUACAGCAAAUUGAUUCAGAUAUACAUGUAUAUAUGUUCUUUUUAAGAUUAUUAUUUCAGAUUAUAAUGCAUUUAGGUUAUUACAAAUUAUUGAAUCUAGUUCCCUAUGCCAUACAAUAGGUCCUUGUUUAUCUAUUUUAUAUAUAAUAAUUUAUAUAUAUUAAUCACAAGCUCUUAAUUUAUCCUUCCCGCCUUUCUCCUUUGGUAACCUUAAGUUUGUUUUCUAUGUCUAUGAGUAUGUUUCUGUUUUGUAAAUAAGUUCAUUUGUAUCAUUUUUA